UUGAGCCAUUGCCAAGGCUUCAACACUCAGAUAACUGAACUCUAGAAUUCUGAUGCAGCUGGAUGAACUCUACAAUUUAGAGAAUGUUCCUUGAGCUUGCAAUUAGAACUUCUCUUCCUUCAUUUGUGCAGUGCUUUACCACUUCUGUUUGCCUUGACUUACAUUAGGUACUGACAACUUGUCCGAUUACUCUGGCCCUCCUUAACUUCAAGACUUAUCAAAUUUAUCAUGCUCAGUCUCUUUCUCUUUGUGAUCUCCCGUUCACAUAUCAUCAAUGGUCUGACCCAUGUUUAAUCUUCUAUGUCUAUUCUGUAUAGGUUGUCCAGUGUCCCUGUUAAAUACCCCAUCAGUUUUUGCUUCUAACCUGGAAAGCACUACGAUCAUAGUUGUACCCA
This 395-nucleotide long non-coding RNA is filed under the name Panax ginseng (ginseng). Its description in RNAcentral is "long non-coding RNA (PGIN_LNC002301)". Lineage: Eukaryota; Viridiplantae; Streptophyta; Magnoliopsida; Apiales; Araliaceae. The record is from RNAcentral.